Molecule: long non-coding RNA, 204 nt
Filed under: Nicotiana benthamiana
Lineage: Eukaryota; Viridiplantae; Streptophyta; Magnoliopsida; Solanales; Solanaceae
Description: long non-coding RNA (NBEN_LNC042693)
Source: RNAcentral
CCCAUCAAUGGUAACUAAAACUAAAAAAAUUAAAUAAAAACUACCAACACCUGGUUAAAACUAAACCCUUGAAAAAGAACCGUGAUCCAAAGAAAAACAAAGGGGGAGUUACUACACUACCUAAAAAUGAAAAAAAUCUUUUUGGUAUUUUCUUUAUACUAACUUUCCUCAAGAACUGUUUCUAUUAUCCGUCAUCAAGAAGAG